CAUUUCAAGGGACUUUUGUCACAAUGUGGCUGUUUGUAUGUAAACCUUGGUCUCGGAGGAAAAUCCUGCAGUCAGGUUAUUGUUUAAUCUUCAUCGCUGCCUCUCUGGCAGGGUCUGGGGGAAAUGGAAACAAACCACAAGCCUUCAUUAAGCAAACAGCUGUGGACUGGAAGAGAUCAGAAGUGCAGUCUGGAAACCAUGUGUGCUUCUCAUGUUGCAAUAAUUGGGAAAUGAUGAUCAAUAGCAGCUUAUGCGCCCAAGGAAGUCUUGCUGUCACACAAUGCCAUGGGAUGGUUUAAUGUGCGAACCAUUUGCCUGUUGUCCAUAAAUGAAAAUCACAUGUCAACAUGCAAAUAAUUCAGCUGUCUUUGCAUUUUGAAUGGAAAUAGCCUUCUUUAUUUCACGGAUUUUUUUUAUUCAUUUGACGCACCAAGGAUGUUGACUUUUUAUCUCCACAAUAAAUUAAGCUAAACAAGCUUAAUCUGGACUUUU
RNAcentral lists this long non-coding RNA (492 nucleotides) under Anas platyrhynchos platyrhynchos (common mallard). RNAcentral describes it as "lncRNA (ENSAPLG00000019357.1)". The record is from RNAcentral. Lineage: Eukaryota; Metazoa; Chordata; Aves; Anseriformes; Anatidae.